UACGUAGGGGGCAAGCGUUGUCCGGAAUCAUUGGGCGUAAAGAGCGUGUAGGCGGCCUGAUAAGUCUGCUGUGAAAGUCCAGGGCUCAACCCUGGGAUGCCGGUGGAUACUGUCGAGCUCGAGUCCGGAAGAGGCGAGUGGAAUUCCUGGUGUAGCGGUGAAAUGCGCAGAUAUCAGGAGGAACACCAAUGGCGAAGGCAGCUCGCUGGGACGUGACUGACGCUGAGACGCGAAAGCGUGGGGAGCAAACAGG
RNAcentral lists this ribosomal RNA (253 nucleotides) under uncultured bacterium. RNAcentral's name for it is "partial 16S ribosomal RNA". It matches the Rfam family "Bacterial small subunit ribosomal RNA", at positions 524 to 776 of the family's 1533-position model. The record is from RNAcentral.